GACCCGAAAGAUGGUGAACAAUGCCUAAUCAGGGUAAAGUCAGGGAAAACCCGGAUGGAGGACCGAAGCAGUUGUGACGAGCAAAUCGAUUGACAGAAUUGGGCAUAGGGGCGAAAAGCCAAUCAAACUAUCUAGUAGUUGG
Molecule: ribosomal RNA, 142 nt
Filed under: Aedes aegypti (yellow fever mosquito)
Lineage: Eukaryota; Metazoa; Arthropoda; Insecta; Diptera; Culicidae
Description: rRNA AAEL028638
Rfam family: Eukaryotic large subunit ribosomal RNA
Source: RNAcentral